AACGAACGCUGGCGACAUGCCUAACACAUGCAAGUCGAACGAGACCUUCGGGUCUAGUGGCGCACGGGUGCGUAACGCGUGGGAACCUGCCUUUAGGUUCGGAAUAACUCAGAGAAAUUUGAGCUAAUACCGGAUAAAUGUCUUCGGACCAAAGAUUUAUCGCCUUUAGAUGGGCCCGCGUUGGAUUAGCUAGUUGGUGGGGUAAAGGCCUACCAAGGCGACGAUCAUAGCUGGUCUGAGAGGAUGAUCAGCCACACUGGGACUGAGACACGGCCCAGACUCCUACGGGAGGCAGCAGUGGGGGAAUAUUGGACCAAAUGGGCGGAAAAGACCUGAUACCAGCAAUGCGCGUGAGUGAUGAA
This 362-nucleotide ribosomal RNA is filed under the name uncultured bacterium. RNAcentral describes it as "bacterial SSU rRNA". It matches the Rfam family "Bacterial small subunit ribosomal RNA", at positions 29 to 412 of the family's 1533-position model. The record is from RNAcentral.